Caretta caretta (loggerhead turtle) is the source of this 1428-nucleotide long non-coding RNA. RefSeq lists it as uncharacterized. The record is from RefSeq and is a predicted model, not a curated record. Lineage: Eukaryota; Metazoa; Chordata; Testudines; Cheloniidae.
AAAAAGCAGGAGAAGGGUUCACAAUAAUUAAACUACCUCUCCAAACAAAGAGAAAAGAUGUACUGCCAUUAAGCUGCCUACCUAACGAGGAAGCUGUGUUGAAGAUGAUGAAAGGAACGUGUCUGAACAUGCAGGAUCUUCAGGAGAAUCCAUCCUCAACAUACAGGAUUCUGAAGACUAUCCACCUUCAAGAUCACCAUCAUUUUGUAUAGUUUCAGAGUUAUCUGCCAAUGAUAGUCUUUCAGUCACAUCAUGUAUGUCACAUAGCCACAGUAUAUCACCUAUAGCAAAAAGAAAAAAAAUCUCCAUCAUCCAGAAACAACCAGAGAUAAAUUUGUGAUAAGAACCAGCAGAUUACAAAAAGGUAAUUGAUGAAAAAAAUUGCCCAGUUUAUGCAACGAACUCUCCUUUCCAUAUGACUGAGAACCCACACUUCAUUAACAUGGUUCAGUCAUUAAGACCAAGAUACAGUCCACCUAACAGAGCAGCUGUCGCAGGCAAAUUGCUGGAUAACAUGUAUGAAAGAGAAACUAAACUGUGUGCAAAAGGUCUACAUGGUGAAAUUGUUAACCUGAGUCUUGAUGGGUGGAGCAAGGGCCACAAUGCUCCUGUUGUAUGUGCUUGUGUGACAACAGAAGAAGGGAAUGUCUUCCUUACAGAAAGAAUUGAUACACCAGGAAAUGCACACACAGCAGAACACUUACAAGAAGUAGCAGUAAAAGCUAUAACAAACGGUGAAAAAAAUUUCAAACGUCUAAAACACCGCUUGGUCACAGACAAUGCUGCAAAUGUUCCAAGACGAGAAGAAAUUUAGAAGAGAGUCCCAAGCUAAUAACAUAUGGUUUCAGUUAUCAUCUGAUGCACCUCCUAGUCAAAGACUUCAGUGUUCCAGAAAUAAAGGCUAAUGCUGUUGAAAUUGCAAAAUACUUCCGUAACCACCACUUUGCAGCAGCUGCUCUGAAAAAAGUGGGAGGAACAAAGCUAACACUCCCACAAGGCGUGCGAUGGAACUCAGUAGUGGACUGUUCUGAGCACUGUAUCAAGAACUGGCCUAAUUGGAUGACAGUUUGUGAACAAAAUUGUGAAAAAAUAGAUGGCACUGUCACAGCCAAAGUUCUCAGCACUGGGCUUAAGAGAAAUGUUGAACACAUGCUGAGUACCCUGAAGCCUAUUUCCGUAGCCUUGAACAAAAUGCAGGGAAAUAGCUGUUUUAUUGCUGACACUGUUGAAAUUAGGAAGGAACUGAGUGAGAUCUUAAAAAGAGAAAUAUGCAAUGACAGAGUUCAAUUACAAGCAUUAAAAAAACAAAUGGGACAAGCACUGUCUCCAGCUCAUUUUCUUGCAAAUAUUCUCAAUACUCGGUACCAGGGUCAAACCUUAACUGCUGAAGAAGAGAAGUUGGUUACGACAUGGACAUCCAGCAAUCAU